This is a long non-coding RNA of Callithrix jacchus (white-tufted-ear marmoset), 4318 nucleotides long. NCBI's taxonomy places the organism in Eukaryota, Metazoa, Chordata, Mammalia, Primates, Cebidae. The record is from Ensembl.
GAAUCUUCCCUGGCAGGCCGCCAGGACCAGCUGAGAGCACUGGCGCCAGAGACCCGCGCGCCCGGAAAGGGGCGGGGAGGUGGGCGGAGCCAGGCAACCUCGGGACCACCAAUAGGAUGCUCAGCCGGCGCUGGCCCUGCGCGUGACGCAGCGGAGCUGGGAGGCAGGGGGCGUAGGGGCCGGGCUGUCCAGCGCUUUAUCUUUCUCUGCCGCCCGGCCGGCGACGUUGCGGGCCCUGGGCGCCAGAGAGCUUCCCGGAGCCGACCUUCCAGCUGUCUGCUCUGUGGUCGCUUCCGGGCUCUCCCUUUUGGCCGAAGCCCCCGCUGCUGGGUGCGGGCCUCACUCAGAGUCUCGCUGAAGUGCAUUGGCACAAUCUUGGCUCACUGCAACCUCCGCCUCCUGGGUUCAAGAGAUUCUCAUGCCCAGCCUCCAAAGUAUCUGAGAUUACAGGUAACCGCUCCGGGAGAUUUCCUUCAUGUUCCUUGCCCUUGUCACCUGCACACUGAUGUAAGCCUGAGCUCUGUCUUCAACCCAGACUUGUAUAUUCAGCUGCCUGUUGGUUAUAAUCACUUGGCUGACCCACAGACAUAUCACAGUGAGUGUUUCUACUCUUUGUCUUCCAGCUGUAAUUACUUAGCAUAAUGACACAUGUAUAGCCUAUAGCCUUAGCCUAGGACUUAGAAAUCUCACUUGGGAUCUAUAUUUUCCACUGCCUUCUGCAUAUAGCCAGCUGGUAUCUCAUAGACUCCUCAGCUUAAUGCUUAUACAUUUUUCUCAUCUCUCUUUCUCUUCUCUUCAUUAAUUUAUUCAUUUAACAAACACAUGUUAUUUGAGCCUUACUUCAUGCCUUUGUUUUUUGUGUGAGUUAAUGGUUUUCCCUGCCAGUCUUUUCUGUAUCGAGUUAUCUUCCUAAAGACAAAUACCAGUUCACCUUCUUGUUUAAAAGCCUUUAUUAGCUCCUUCUUGAGAUGGUAAGUUCCAAGAUCCUUGGAAUGGCCCCUAAAGGUUUUUGACCUUUUGUCCUUUCCCUUUCAUAUGUCCUGUGCUCCAGCCUUUUCCUUCUCUGCUUUAACCUAGGUUUUACCUUCUUCAGGAAACUUUCCUAAUUGCCCCUAAGCUCUCUUGGGCCCCACUUGUGUUCCCUUCUUAUACUACAUACAUCUCAAUCACUGUUAUAUAAAACCCACUAGUGGCUGGGCAUGGUGGCUCAUGCCUGUAAUCCCAGCACUUUGAGAGGCCAAGGCGGGUGGAUCACCUGGGGUCAAGGGUUUGAGAGCAGCCUGGCCAACGUGGCAAAACCCCGUCUCUAUUACAAAUACAAAAAUAUUAGCUGGGUGUGGUGGCAGGUGCCGGUAAUCCCAGCUAUUCCAGAGGCUGAGGUAGGAGAAUUGUUAGAACUCUGGGGAUGGAGGUUGCAGUGAGCCAAUCACACUACUGCCAUCCUGCCUGGGUGACAGAGCAAGACUCCCUCUCAAAACAAAAAACAAAAACAAAAACAAAAAAACCCCACUAGGGCUGGCUCAUGCCUGUAAUCCCAGCACUUUGGGAGACAGAGGCAGGUGGAUCACUUGAGGUCAGGAGUUCGAGACCAGUCUGGCCAACGUGGUGACACCCUGUCUCUACUAAAAAUAUAAAAAUUAACCAGUCUGAGUGCCUGUAAUCCCAGCUACCCGGGAGGCUGAGACAGGAGAAUUGCUUGAACGUACGAAGAGGAGGUUGCAAUGAGCCAAGAUGGUGCCACUGUGCUCCAGCCUGGGUGACAGAGUGAGACUGUCUAAAAACAACAACAACAACAACAACAAAAACCAGCCGCUAGAUGUUAUAAUUAUGUUUCUGUGUCUUUUCUUCCGCUGGAGUUUUACUCCUUGAGAACACAGAUUGUUGUAGUCGUCAUCUUUGUAUCCCCAGUGUUCACUGUGAUAACCAUACAAAGUAGUCAUCUUUGUAUGGUCUGGUAUAUAGUAGAUCUCUAUAAAAUGUUUACCUUAAUGAAUCUUAUCACCAAGGUCUCUUCCUUUUCAUAUGUUUUUCAUAGAGUGCUCCUUCCUCCCAUCCUAUAUUUUUAGUGCCUAGCAAACUUUUAUUCCUCCUUUGAACUCUGACUCUAAUAUUACCUUCUCUAUGAGAACUUGUUUCACUCUUAAGUGAUUAAUUAUGCUGUCUCAACAGUUUGUGUGUUUGUGUAAAGAAUACAAUGGAAUAGACACCUGUAUUAUUAUUAUUAUUAUUAUUUUUUUUUGAGACAGAGUUUCGCUCGUUACCCAGGCUGGAGUGCAAUGGCGUGAUCUCGGCUCACCGCAACCUCCGCCUCCUGGGUUCAGGCAAUUCUCCUGCCUCAGCCUCCUGUGUAGCUGGGAUUACAGGCAUGCGCCACCAUGCCCAGCUAAUUUUUGUAUUUUUAGUAGAGACGGGGUUUCACCAUGUUGACCAGGAUGGUCUCGAUCUCUUGACCUCGUGAUCCACCCGCCUCGGCCUCCCAAAGUGCUGAGAUUAGAGGCGUGAGCCACCACGCCCGGCCGACACCUGUAUUAUUACAACACAUUUAUAAAACACCAUUUUAGAAUGAGGUGCUUAAUAUGAAUGUAUUUUCAGAAAACUGGCACAUACCUUUUAGAUGUCAGAACUAAAACUUUCUUGUAUUCUGUUUAAACGACUAUAGCCUUUUUUAGAUUUGCCUGGGUCAUUGAAGCAUGAACUUAGCUUUGAUAUACUGAUGUGUUGGAACUGUAGAGAAAAUUCACUGUUUUUUUUUUUCUAUUGGAAAAUGGAGACAGGAUUACCUACCUCAUAGGGCUAUUGUUAGGAAUAAAGGAGAGUCAUGUAUAAGGUCUUAUCAGAGAGUUUAGCAAAAGCAAGUACCUACUCAAGAACUGACCAUUCUAAUAACCGUUAGCUAAUUAUAUGAAUUGUUUAGGGAGAAGAAUCUCAGAUUUGAGACAUUUUUUUUUCUAGUGGAGUAAAGGGCAUGACAUUUGUCAGCAAAAUUUUUUUUAGAGUCUCUUAGACAUUCUAAAUUUAGAAUCAGGCCCUGAAUGGCUGAUGUUGAUGAAAAGUCUCAAGCUCUAUCUGAGCUGCAGUAGCACACUUAGCACAAGCAAGGAAGAAAAGAAAAAACAGUCUCAAGCUCUAAAGUAUAUUGCUUUAAUAAUUCCUAUAUACCUACAAUUUAAAUCCCAAAUGAAGUAAAUGUCCCCAUUAAUGGCUUUAUAUUUACUUUUUAGUAUUAACAGGUAAAGACAAAAGUGAAGAACAUCAGUUCCAACUUUCAUAGUCGCCUAUUAACGAUUGCUUUAUGAACAUGUGAUGAGCAGUUCUUUAAAAUUUUCUUUUUUUUUUUAAGACAGGGUUUUACCAUGUUGGUCAGGGUGGUCUUGAACUCCCGACCUCAGGUGAUCCGCCCGCCUUGGCCUCCAAAGUGCUUGGAUUACAGGCAUGAGCCACCAUGCCUGGCCUAAAAUUUUCUUAAUGUAUAUGAAAGUACUGGAUAAUUACUGAUUUAUCCAACAAAUUAAGUAUAGAAUGUGUUCCAGGCACAGUUCUAAAUAUUUGGGGAAAAGCGGUAAAUGAGAAAAAAAUUCUGCUUCUUAUGGAGAUUAGUCUUAUGGGAUAGCAAGAAAAUAUAAUGUAUUGCAGGAUAAGUGCACUGAAGACAAAUAAAGCAAUAAAGCAAGGUAAGGGGAUAAGAGAGGAAUGAGGCUCCAGGAUGUGUGUUUUAGAUAGAGUAGACAAGGAGGUCCCUGAGGAGGGGGCGUCUGAGUAGGGAACUGAGUGAGGGUAUCUGGGAGGAGAUGCUCUUGGCAGAUGGAUUAGGCCUUUAGGUUUGGAAAAAGCUUGGCUUGUUUAAGAAACAGUGGAAGGCCAAAGUCAUGAGUAGAGAAAAAUGAGAGAGAAGAUUGAUGGUAUUUGAGUGUUAAGAGAUAAGAUUGAUGGUACUUGAGGCUGGGCAUAGUGGCUUAAUACCUGUAAUCCCAACACUGUGGGAGGCUGAGGGUGGAUCACUUGAGGCCAGGCGUUCAAGACCAAUUUGGCCAACAUGGCAAAAUCUUGUCUCUGCUAAAAUUCAUAAAUUAGCUGGGCAUAGUGGUACACACCUGUAAUUCCAGCUACCCAGGAGGCUGAGGCAUGAGAAUUGCUUGAACCUGAGAGGCGGAGUUUGCAGUGAGCCAAGAUCACACCACUGCACUCCAACCUGGGUGACACAGUGAGACUCUGUCUCAAAAAACAAACUGAUGGUGAAUGCCAGGUAAUGCAGGAGUUAUUAGAUCAUGGUGAGGACUUAGGAUGUUUGAAGGGGUUUAAGUUGUGAAAUGACUUGAUG